RNAcentral lists this ribosomal RNA (497 nucleotides) under uncultured bacterium. RNAcentral's name for it is "partial 16S ribosomal RNA". It matches the Rfam family "Bacterial small subunit ribosomal RNA", at positions 28 to 507 of the family's 1533-position model. The record is from RNAcentral.
GAUGAACGCUGGCGGCGUGCCUAAUACAUGCAAGUCGAGCGAGCAGACGAUGAGCUUGCUCCUCUGACGUUAGCGGCGGACGUGCGAGUAACACGUGGAUAACCUACUUAUAAGACUGGGAUAACUUCGUGAAACCGGAGCUAAUACCGUAUAAUAUAUUGAACCGCAUGGUUCAAUAGUGAAAGACGGUUUUGCUGUCACUUAUAGAUGGAUCCGCGCCGCAUUAGCUAGUUGGUAAGGUAACGGCUUACCAAGGCAACGAUGCGUAGCCGACCUGAGAGGGUGAUCGGCCACACUGGAACUGAGACACGGUCAAGACUCCUACGGGAGGCAGCAGUAGGGAAUCUUGCGCAAUGGGCGAAAGCCUGACGGAGCAACGCCGCGUGAGUGAUGAAGGUCUUCGGAUCGUAAAACUCUGUUAUUAGGGAAGAACAAAUGUGUAAGUAAAUAUGCACGUCUUGACGGUACCUAAUCAGAAAGCCACGGCUAACUACGUG